Molecule: ribosomal RNA, 576 nt
Filed under: Triticum aestivum (bread wheat)
Lineage: Eukaryota; Viridiplantae; Streptophyta; Magnoliopsida; Poales; Poaceae
Description: partial small subunit ribosomal RNA
Source: RNAcentral
AUGCGAAAUAAAUGGAAAUACAUUUUACACGAUCGCCAAGAUCAAAAGAGCACCAACCAAAACAGCGGUGUCCACUUUGAUGCAGCAACCGAGACGGGAAAGGACACAUAUUAUGGUUGCAUAGUGGACAUAUGGGAACUUGACUACGGACAUGAUUUUAAGGUCCCUUUGUUUAAGUGCAAAUGGGUCAAUCUGUCAGGAGGCGGGGUACAGGUAGACCCACAGUACGAAAUGACAACAGUGGAUCUGAACAAUCUUGGGUACACUGACGAACCGUUCAUCCUAGCCAAUGAUGUGGCACGGGUUAUCUAUGUGAAGGACAUGUCUAUCAAACCGAGAAAAAGAAAAGAUAAGGAAGCGAAUACAUCAUAUGAUGAGCCAAAGCGCCACAUAGUUCUUUCAGGAAAAAGGGACAUCGUGGGAGUGGAGGGCAAGACAGACAUGUCUGAAGAUUAUGAAAAGUUUCAUGAAAUUCCUCCCUUCAAAGUCAAGGCUGACCCAAGCAUCCUGAUAAACGAUGAAGAUUAUCCAUGGUUAUGGCGCAAUAAGCAAAGCACACAAGCGAAAAAAAAGUGA